CAAAUGGUUGUUGGAGGUUCAAAUCGGAUCAACCAAAGAUGAGACCGGUUGGUCGAUAUGGUCUGAAAUCGAUUGUAAAUCCUGAAACAAAUGAAAGAUGAAUGAGAUACGAAUGCUAUGAAGAAUAAACUAAGAUAAAUAAACAAAGAAAAAUGAUAGAUAUGGCGGAAUCAAGCUGCUGGAUGUGUAUCACUCUCAGCUUGAUCAAAAGAUGGAUUGAAGUGGAUUUGCGGAUGAGGUUUUGAUUGAAUCUCUCAAUCUGAUGAAGGAUGGAUCGAAUUGAUUGACUCUCUCAAUCUGUGUACUGAGCUUAUUUGAUUUGCACAAAUAAACUAGACUCACGAAAUCAAUAGAACAACAAAGAAUCUCUCUUUGAAUCCUAAAGACCGAUAUUUUAUACAAAGAACAAUCUUUGAUAAAAACUGAAUAACUUUUUAUUAACUUGGUGAUUAAGGGUGAUCUUUACAAUGGACGUCUAGGAGCUUAUAUAAUGCUCAGAGACAAAGGUCCUAACGUUCUAAAACAAAUAGAAAAGUAAACAAAUCAAAACUAAGAAAGAAAUCAAAAACUAGCCGUUGGAGCCUUUUGUGUGAUUUUGGCUCCAAGUAAAGAAUCUGAUCUUUCUUGAACCUGGAUGGUUUAAGGGGAUAAGAGAGCUUUCUUGGGACCUUCUUGAAUGCUUGAUAGAUGCUUAUCUCGUCCUUGCCUUGGUAGAAAAAGAGCUGUUGGAGUUUGAAUGCAAGAGACUCCAAAUAAGGCAGUUCGGUGAUAAUGGGGAUCUUCUUAUUCCUAUGUGGGCUGGUGCAUGGGAUGAAGUUGUAGAACUCUUCUGGCUCGUGUAUAAUGUCUCCUGGAUGUCUUGGUUUAGUCUGGAUGUCGUCUGGUUCUCCUGGUUGGAUUGGAAUUGCUUGGAAGGGAUCAAACCGAAAGAUUGUCCAAUCUUUCCAUAAAUAGCUCCGGUUUGAUUUAAGUGAUUCUCCAUUGAACCGACUGAUCUCCUGGGUUCUGGUGCAUCUAAGGACUUCUGGAAUACCUCCUGAUUGGUUAAGAUGAUCUCCUGGUUCCCAUAAAUAGCUCUGGGUCGAACCAAGUUGAAUUAGUUGAAGACUUUCCAUAGAUGACGUCGGUUUGGCCUGUUCUGGGGAAUUGAUCAUAACUCCUAAUUUCCGUGGCCAUUUCUCCUGAUCUUGGGUUUUCUGGAAAGCUGAUAAACUCAUAUUGACUCCUAUGAUGGGCUUUGCUUCAGGACGCUCCUUAAUUGAGCUUGAAUCUUCUUCUAAAGUCGGGUACUCGCAGAUGGACGGGUUGAGAAACCUCUGAAUUGUAAAAUUCAUAACUUCUUGCUCCGUGAAUAUAUUGGCCCAAUUACAAUUGUCCUGGACUCAUUCUUGAGUGUAGAAUCCAUAAAAAUUAGACUCGUGAUUUAAACCCUCCUGGUUUGUAAGAUAUGGUAUUUUUAGUGCACGUAUAUCCUGGUUGGCGCCUUGGCUGGUUGAGUAGGGCUUUGGGUUGACCUCUGGUACAGUUGCUGAUCUGAUGACCGCAUCAUACCCUCCCCCUUGACAAAGUUUCGACCUCGAAACUGGAUAACCUGCACCAAGAUAGAGCAAGUCAGCUUUCAUACUCUUUUGAGAUUCUAAGGUCUUACCUUGAUAUUGUUUCGGUUUGGGGAUGGAUUGUGCAUCAGGUGGUUCUUCUUUGGACAGAUAUGAAAGGACCACGCCUCUUCUAUGGUUUUGGACAUUGCAUCUCUUCUAGAGUGGAUGGCCCUUCAAAGUUUUGGUGGUCUCGUUUCUGGUCUCCCUUAGAGUUGAAUCUCCUAGCAACAAAAGAUUAUUCGGUGGGAUUUCUUUGAAGCUUUCUUUUUUGCAACCUGAAAAAUUCUCAACUUUCUGGACAAAAAGCAAGUGCAUCAUAUCUGUGUUUGGACACUGAUAAAAAUAAUUUGAAAUUUCCAGACUUACUUUGAUAGCUUCCACAAGUUGAAGAAUGAUUUUCUUCUUUGGACAACUUGUUUUUGUUUGCUGCCUUCUUUGCAACUUUUGACCUUGGUUGUUAUGAACUACUUCUUGUCUUAUUCCUGGAUCAAAACUUUUUGGCAAAGACAAGUGCAUUAUACCUGUAUAAUCAAGUGUCUUGGACGUUUUAAGAUCAGAGAAACUUACCUUAAGCCUUGGCAUUUGAACAACACUUAGUUCAAUUUUAGGCUUCCACUUGUGAGUUGGUUCAUGGCUGAGCUUAUGGUUUGGUUCCUUCCUUGGAACUUCAGUAAGCAUAUAGCUUUCACUUUUACUCCCUAUAUCAAGAACACACACGUCAGUGAUAGUAUCUCUAGGUGGUGUUAGACACUUACCUUGGUGAGAUACUUUUAUGAUCGGUUUUGCUUCUUUAAGCAAGAUCGACUGCUUGGUGUCUUGAAUCAUCUUCUGGUCGACCACGUGGGUUACUACUGAUGGCUCUCCUUCUCUUGGUUCCUCAAGACCUGUUACAAGACACUUUGACAGAGACAAGUGCAUCAUACAAGAAUUUUGAACCAAUAGUUCAGAUUGAACAAAACUGUCACUUAUCAUAGGUAAAUCUGUUUUCUUUUCUAGUGAUGUUUCUAUCAAUACUUGCUUACUAGGACAAACUACAGCAUAGUGUCCUUUCUUAUGACAUCUAUAACAUGUCUGAUAUUUUAAAUCCUCAGAGUUAGAAGACUUACAUUGGUUUGAUGGCCCUUCUUUCUUUGGGUUUAAAAUCUCCUUGUCUCUUGGAAUUAAAUCAUGGACAACUUUUGAUCUCAACAAGGAUGUGGAGAUCGUGUCUUCCUGGACCUCAGGACCUGUCUUAACACCCUUGGACAAAGACAAGUGACUCAUACCAGUGGGAGAUGAUUUAUAAACACAUUUAUCAAGUAUAGGACUUACCUUGGCCUUUUCUUGAAAAAUCGGUUUGUCUGAUUUUUCUUUGUGUCUGGCCAAUGUGUCUUGGCUGACAAAGUUCUUCUUCUCCAUGGCCUUUGGGACCUCAUAAGGCUGGUAUUGAUCAUAUAAAACCGUGGACCUCUUGUUUGGCCGAAUCUGGUCUUGGUGGAUUAAGCUUCUAUGGCUUUGUUGUGGCACCAUUCUCUUUGCCUCUUUAGAACCAUGAGUUGGAUACCUCCUUGGAUAAAGUUCCUGGAUUUCAGAACUUGUAAAACCUGGUGCAAACUCAUAUCUCAUGACUUCCUUAAGAGCUCUCCAUGUUUUGAUAGUUGGCUCCUUGUAAAACCACCUAUCAUCUUCUUCUUGUACCCACCAUUUAAAGGCAUCAUCUUUUAGUUGAUCAAUGGCAUAAAACAACCUCUCCUUUUUCUGGAUGUUGUUGUAGUGAAACCACUCAUCAAGGUUUCUUUCCCAUCUAAGAUAACCUCUUUUUCCUGAAAAUUUAAAGAGUUCAAUUUUAUCAGCAAAAGAGUUAUAAUCAAACCGAGGAUUAACAACAUGAUUGUUGUGGGUUUUAGAAGUUGGAGUUUGAUUGAUCUUUGAAGGAUCUGGUGGCUUGGGAUCGACAUAUAUAGCCCCUGGUACAUCUCCAAAUCUUGUUUUUCCUUGCUGUGGUCGUUGGCCUUGUGCCUGAUUUCAUUUAUCCAAUUGAGCAAUCUUAAUUUGGAGCUUUUGUAGAGCUGCGGUCUGUUGGCUCAAGGUGGCCCUUAGGUUUUGGCCAUGUCUCUCCUCCUCCAUUGCUUCCUGAAAACAAUCUCAAAGAACAAGUGAAAGUAUGGAAAGUUUUGGUCGAACCAAAAUAAAACAAGUGCAAGAAUGCAAUUUAACUAAACCGAGAAAAUAUGCAAUUAUGAACCGAAAUGAAGUAAAUAUACUAAAAUGAUUUUUCUCUUUUGGUUUUCUGAAUGCAAUCUCGAAAUUAAACAAUAUGGUAUGAUAAGAAACACAAAGGGAAAGAAAAUAUGAAAAUUAAACUAAGCCUGAUUUUUUUUUUUGAAUUUUCUUAAGAUGCAACAAUUAAACCACAAUAUGCAAAUGAUAUGAACUAUGCUCUAAAUAAUUUUUUUUUUAAUUUUUUUUCUUGAUGCAAGCACGAAAUAAAUCAGUAUGGGAUGCUAUGAACAAUAAAUGGAAAGACUUAUGGAAACAAACUAACAAGGAUAUUUUUUUUGAAUUUUCUUAUGCAAGAAACAAAUAUGGAAAUGCAGAUUUUUUUUUUUUUAAAUGAAUGCACAAAAUCUAAAUAUGGCAAGUGGAGCUGGGGAAUGAAUGCAAACAACUAGACAAGUAUUUCAAAAGAAUUUCGUGGAUCAAACUAGACAACUUCUUCUUCUUUAGUUUUAUUUUCUUAAGAACAACAAUAACAAUGCAAAAACGGUUUUUUUUUUUUUUUUAAAUGAAAACAAAUGCAAACAAAUAUGAAUGUUGCAAGGAUAGAAUGGACCUGAUUCAGGAGCUUGAGCUCUGAUACCAAAUGUUGCAGGCUGGAAGCUGGGUCGCCCAAAUGGUUGUUGGAGGUUCAAAUCGGAUCAACCAAAGAUGAGACCGGUUGGUCGAUAUGGUCUGAAAUCGAUUGUAAAUCCUGAAACAAAUGAAAGAUGAAUGAGAUACGAAUGCUAUGAAGAAUAAACUAAGAUAAAUAAACAAAGAAAAAUGAUAGAUAUGGCGGAAUCAAGCUGCUGGAUGUGUAUCACUCUCAGCUUGAUCAAAAGAUGGAUUGAAGUGGAUUUGCGGAUGAGGUUUUGAUUGAAUCUCUCAAUCUGAUGAAGGAUGGAUCGAAUUGAUUGACUCUCUCAAUCUGUGUACUG
Molecule: long non-coding RNA, 4774 nt
Filed under: Brassica napus (rape)
Lineage: Eukaryota; Viridiplantae; Streptophyta; Magnoliopsida; Brassicales; Brassicaceae
Description: long non-coding RNA (BNAP_LNC019788)
Source: RNAcentral